UUAUCUGUCGAUGCGUUUGAUUUUUUCCUUAAUCACCUAAGUUCAAUUUCUGUUUGUUCAUUUUUUUCGUUUUUAUUGUUAUUUAUUUAACUCAGUUUGGAUAUUUUUUUUUGUUUUUCACUUUUUCUCUACAUUUUUCAUGCAUAUAUAGCGUGGUUGGAAUUUGUUAUGAAGAAAGAUCGCAGCAGUGGUAGUGCGGCGGCGGUGGAGCAAAGAAUGGUUCUUCAUAAAGUGCAACAGGUGAAGAAGAGUAGACAUGGACCGAGGUCGCGAAGCUCAGAGUAUCGCGGCGUCACCAUCUAUCGAAGGAUUGGAUGAUGUGAAUCGCAUAUUUGCAUGAUGGAUUCUUCCCUUUUCUUGAAAAUUGAUGCUUUUCCCAACAACAACAACACAGAUUAGAGACCAUUGGAGCAAAGCAAAGGCUGUUGAUAUUUGAUAAGCACAACAAUGACCCUCAGAUAUAAUGUGUAACAGGUACAAUAUGCUUGAUCAAGGUUUUGUUAAGGAAUCGGUGUUUUGAUUUUGGCUGAACCAUAACCCAGAGGAAGAGAAUGGGAGCGAACUUGUUUUUGGAGGUGUUGAUCCCAAUCACUACAAGGGAAAGCACACUUAUGUGUCUGUGUCAAG
Non-coding RNA from Arachis ipaensis, 627 nucleotides. Lineage: Eukaryota; Viridiplantae; Streptophyta; Magnoliopsida; Fabales; Fabaceae. The record is from RefSeq and is a predicted model, not a curated record.